ACCUUUCUAGUAUUAAGCCAGUACGAGUGACUUCCAAUCACCUGGUCUUGGUUAAAGUCCAAGGAAAGGUA
RNAcentral lists this transfer RNA (71 nucleotides) under Menidia menidia (Atlantic silverside). Its description in RNAcentral is "tRNA-Gly". It matches the Rfam family "tRNA". Rfam says of the family: Transfer RNA (tRNA) molecules are approximately 80 nucleotides in length. Their secondary structure includes four short double-helical elements and three loops (D, anti-codon, and T loops). The record is from RNAcentral. RNAcentral also lists the same sequence under 3 other names. Lineage: Eukaryota; Metazoa; Chordata; Actinopteri; Atheriniformes; Atherinopsidae.